RNAcentral lists this ribosomal RNA (362 nucleotides) under Lobolibethra carbonelli. Its description in RNAcentral is "partial 12S ribosomal RNA". Lineage: Eukaryota; Metazoa; Arthropoda; Insecta; Phasmatodea; Diapheromeridae. The record is from RNAcentral.
UUAUACAAUUAACAUAAUAUAAUGUUUUUUGGUAUUGAAGUUAACAAUUUAUGGAAUUUAUAUUAAUUAUUUUUAGGUGAAAUUUAAAUAUUUAAUAUAAUUUAUUUGGAUUCUUUUAAAAUUGAAAUAUAAACUGGGAUUAGAUACCCCAUUAUUUUAAUUGUUAAUAAUGUCUUGGGUAGUAAUAGUUAUGUUCUUUAAACCUAAAGGGUUUGGCGGUAUUUUAGUCUAUUUAGAGGAAUUUGCCCUGUUAUUGAUAAUCCCCAUUUUAUCUUACUUAUUUUAGUAUUCAGUUUGUAUACCGCCGUUAUAAGUUUAUUUUUUUAAGAUUUAUUUACAUAAUAAUAUUAUUAAUUAUUUCA